Molecule: long non-coding RNA, 764 nt
Filed under: Homo sapiens (human)
Lineage: Eukaryota; Metazoa; Chordata; Mammalia; Primates; Hominidae
Description: HSALNT0050012
Source: RNAcentral
GUCAGGCCCCCACCUGGCUGGGACAGCCGGGAAUCCCAACACCCCCGCCCCUAGGAAAUGGAAACUGGACUCUUUUAAAAUGAAAAUCCAGUGUGUGGCUUUGAGUAACAGGAGAGUUUUCUGUCAUCUGCAAUGGAUAGAAUUUCUCAAACCCAGACAAGCUCAGAGCCCCACCGUGGCCUCCCACCCUCUGGAUGAGAGGUGCCAAGAUCCCUCCAGAGGCUACACUGAGGCUGGAGGGAAGAGGGAGGGCGUGACAAGCCAGUCUCAGUGGGGGCUUGAGUCUUUCCUGGAGAGAGGUAAGUGGCCUCUUCCACAAGACCCCUGGGUCCACACAGGAGGGAGGUUAAUUUGCACCUGACACGGAGCCGGAGCCAAAGCUUCCUCUCCUAUCCCAGGAGCCACACAUGGCCAGGAAUUCGGAAUCCCCAAGAGGGAGCUCUCCCCAGGGGAAGAAGCGGUGGGCGUGAGGGGCCCCUGCAGGGUGGAGGGACAGAAGGACCGGCCCAGGUUUCUCUCACCUGGAAACCUCCCCUAGGUGGAGGGCUGCGUGGCUGGCUUUGCUUGGUUUUAUUGAAGUUACACACAUAGGAAGAGGCUGGAGCACACAGGCACAGCUCAGGGCAGACCCACAAAACCAGGGGCAAGAGACAGGAGGGGCUGAGCUGCUGGCGGGGGCGGGGUCUCAGAGGUGAGGCGGGGUCUCGGAGGCGGGGCGGGCAUCUCAAAGGUGGGGUUGGGGGGUGUCUCAGAGGUGAGGCGGG